GCGGCGGCAUGUGCGCGGCGGCGGAGUUCGAGUCGUUCGGCGUGCGGCCGGUGGACCUGUGGGGGCUGUCGGUGGAGGCGCUGCUGCCCGAGGUGACGGUGCCGGUGCCUGAGGUCCUGCGCAGCCGCAGCGAGUGGUGCACCACCUACCUGGAUGAGGACAUGCGGGUGGGGCGCGGCAGCGGCGGCGCGCUGUUCCUGUUCCGGCGCGGCGGCGCGGACGACGUCACCGAGGCGGCGGGCGCCAUGGGCGGCAGCCUGGGUGCGGGCUCCGGCAUGGGCAUGGGCUUGGGCGUGGGCUUGGGCGCGGUGGCUGCGGAUGCCCGCGCGCCGGUGAUGCGGCCGCUGUGAGGCGCGUGGGAGGAGGGGCGGGUGGCAGGAGGGAAGUGGAGCCUGGCGGCCGGCGCCGCGGGUGUGUAGCGGUGUGCCCGUGUGUGUGCGGGUGCGUGUACGUGUACGUGUACGUGUACGUGUACGUGUACGUGUACGUGUACGUGUACGUGUGUGUGUGUGUGUGUGUGUGUGUGUGUGUGUGUGUACAUGUGUGUGUGUGUGUACAUGUGUGUGUACAUGUGUGUGUACAUGUGUGUGUACAUGUGUGUGUACAUGUGUGUGUACAUGUGUGUGUACAUGUGUGUGUACAUGUGUGUACCUGUGUGUACAUGUGUGUACAUGUGUGUGUGUGUGUUGAGGUGGGCAUGGUGUGGCUGUGUGGGCGAGGAGGAGCACAGCGCUUCCAUCCGGCACUUGUGAGACAUGUCACAAUUUAUCAUCAUUUUAUCGCGGCAGGCAGUCCUAUGCAUGAGCAAUUCAUGGCGGUGCGCAUGGCGUGGAAUGGAGUGAAUUGAUGUUGUCAGGGGGCUGGUUGCAAUGGCCGAUACCGGUACCUGUGGUCCUGUGCGUCUCUGCGUGUCCUGUACAGUGUAUUCCCCCAAAUGGAUAGGGAGGGCAUGGUUGCAGGCCUGGCCAGAUCAGGUGUCUGGGUUUUAUCCCUCGCCUGCGUGUGCGUGCUUGUAUCUAACUGUACCACUUCAAUUAGGUCAAGGUUACCUGGCCCCUGUAGAGACGUGGAGGCUCAGACAAUAAGACAAUUGGUCUUAGCUCAAUGCAAACAGUGCAAAGAUUGAUUACAUUUGCUGAGUCUGCUUGUGGACAGAGAGAUGUGCGGUGUGAGGACUGUCGGCAGGAGCAUUGAUAGUAUGACAGUGGAGCGUGAAGAGGGAGAGGGACGGAGGGAGGCUGCGUGGUGCUGGCAGAGGGACGGAGGACGAGGUGGGCACCAUGCGGCCUUUGCAAUGCAUUCAAAGCUUCGCCCAAAGCCUUAACUUAUCAGGAUACCGUAUUGCUUGAAGCAGGAGUGCCGUCGCUGGUCACGCAACUUAAGAGAACUGCAGGGAAACAAGCAUCGAACCGGGGGUCGUGAUGGAGGCAUAGAUUUUGCUCUUGCGGCUCCUCGGGCGCCUGGUACACAGGGACACUUUAUCAGUGCACGAUAGCUAUAAGACGAAACAAUAUGGUGGUUUGCCUCGGUGCAGAGAACAGCAGUGCUGACAACUGAGCGCUCCCAAUUGUUGCCUUCUCUCCUACUGGAACUAUGACCGAGCCAAGCACCAGUGGCAAGCGCCAUAGAGAGGAUGAAGGUGUUGGAAACCUCGGCUGGCUGGCGAGCAGCGGUAUGCUGCCUCGCAAGCGGCAAGACAUUUCGGGAGUCGGCAAUGCGAGCAUUAUGGAGCUACAAGCACAACUUUAUCGCACGCAAGAAAAUGUGAAAUUGAAAGCAAGUGGCGUCGAGGUCCCCGACCGGCGAACUUCGGGGUUCAACGUCGCAUCGCUUAUGCAGCGACGAAACACGGGCGUGGAAGAGCGCGAUCGACGGGACAAGCUUGAAGUCAAGGUGAGGCGGGGUCUGGGAGUCCGCAAAUGCGACGUAGGGGCGGUGCUACGCUUGACGCGGACACUGGCCUCAGCAGUUCUGGACGACGCCCCGCGCGGUUUCCCCUCCACGCCCCUCCCGCACAGACCACCGCUGACCGCGUCGGGGAGUGUUACGCCGCGCUAGAGCGCAAGGCGCAACUAUACGAGAAACUAGGUAGGCGCUGCGACUGCUGCAGCCGUGCGCCGUGAACAAUGCCACACGGCACCACUGCCAUCCCUACCCCGCCAUUCCACCACGGCCACGUUGCACACCCCUCGCCGUCGAUGUAUGCGGACUCGCACAGGCUGUCCAGCUCGCCAUCUUCCACACGGCUACCAUAUGCCUGUACAAACUCCCUCGACCCUUUGCCAGCCCUAUCUACCCAUUGAUCGCUGUGCUUCUGCUCGACCGCUGUUCCGCUGCUGUUGCUGCUGCUGCUGCUACUGCUGCUGCUGCCGCAGCUCGCGGCGAGUUGGACGACGAGGGCGAGCAGUACGAGGUGGACUUCCUGCGCAAGGGCGGGGCGGCGGAGGAGGAGGCGGGUGGAGGCGAGGGCCGGCGCGGCGGCGACCUGGUGGACACCAUGCUGCAGGCAGUGUCGGGGACAGGUGAGGCGGGGGCGGAUGGGGGCAAGGAGUCCACGGGCCUUGUAGUCGGACUGCCCGAGCCGCCACCCUGACGGAGAGGGUCAACAAGUGUGUGCUGCGGCUGACCUGUCGGCAGAGCGUGUUGCUGCUGUUCGGCGCUCGGCCCGCGGGAUCUCACCACCCUCAGCCCCCGCCGCUGCUCGGCUGCAACCAUUGAGGCAGGACAGCAAGGGUUUAGGCAGGGUAGUAUGGACUGAGGCAGGGUAAUGCGGACUGGGCAAGGCAACCACCCGACACAUAGCGUGUCCCGGUCUAUUGUAUUCUUCUCUUGUGCGGAGACCGCACGUCUGAACCGCUCCUACUCCGCGCUGCACUUGCGCUCCUGACCACCUCCUGGCCACCUGUCGGCAUGCGGCCCCGCACACAGGCGGCAUGAUGACUGCGGACAUGGCGCGGGAACGGGAGCGGCGCGACUGGGAGCGGGACCAGCAGCGCAUCAUGGCGGACGAGGAGGCGGAGGAGCGGAGGCGGAAGCAGAAAGAGGUGCGUCCAACACAAGCGGAGGUCGGGGACCAAUGGCACCAUUGUUGUAUGCUGUUUAACCCGGGUUACCCUAUGCCGGCGAUGCUGCCUGUGAGCAGUUGAUAAGCAGUGCCUAACCUGCGGUGGCACGUCGUCGCAUGCGGUUUGCACAGGCGCUGCUUUGGCUUGUGGGGGCUGUCGGUGGAGGCGCUGCUGCCCGAGGUGACGGUGCCGGUGCCUGAGGUCCUGCGCAGCCGCAGCGAGUGGUGCACCACCUACCUGGAUGAGGACAUGCGGGUGGGGCGCGGCAGCGGCGGCGCGCUGUUCCUGUUCCGGCGCGGCGGCGCGGACGACGUCACCGAGGCGGCGGGCGCCAUGGGCGGCAGCCUGGGUGCGGGCUCCGGCAUGGGCAUGGGCUUGGGCGUGGGCUUGGGCGCGGUGGCUGCGGAUGCCCGCGCGCCGGUGAUGCGGCCGCUGUGAGGCGCGUGGGAGGAGGGGCGGGUGGCAGGAGGGAAGUGGAGCCUGGCGGCCGGCGCCGCGGGUGUGUAGCGGUGUGCCCGUGUGUGUGCGGGUGCGUGUACGUGUACGUGUACGUGUACGUGUACGUGUACGUGUACGUGUACGUGUACGUGUACGUGUGUGUGUGUGUGUGUGUGUGUGUGUACAUGUGUGUGUGUCUACAUGUGUGUGUACAUGUGUGUGUACAUGUGUGUGUACAUGUGUGUACCUGUGUGUACAUGUGUGUACAUGUGUGUGUGUGUGUUGAGGUGGGCAUGGUGUGGCUGUGUGGGCGAGGAGGAGCACAGCGCUUCCAUCCGGCACUUGUGAGACAUGUCACAAUUUAUCAUCAUUUUAUCGCGGCAGGCAGUCCUAUGCAUGAGCAAUUCAUGGCGGUGCGCAUGGCGUGGAAUGGAGUGAAUUGAUGUUGUCAGGGGGCUGGUUGCAAUGGCCGAUACCGGUACCUGUGGUCCUGUGCGUCUCUGCGUGUCCUGUACAGUGUAUUCCCCCAAAUGGAUAGGGAGGGCAUGGUUGCAGGCCUGGCCAGAUCAGGUGUCUGGGUUUUAUCCCUCGCCUGCGUGUGCGUGCUUGUAUCUAACUGUACCACUUNNNNNNNNNNNNNNNNNNNNNNNNNNNNNNNNNNNNNNNNNNNNNNNNNNNNNNNNNNNNNNNNNNNNNNNNNNNNNNNNNNNNNNNNNNNNNNNNNNNNACGCGGACACUGGCCUCAGCAGUUCUGGACGACGCCCCGCGCGGUUUCCCCUCCACGCCCCUCCCGCACAGACCACCGCUGACCGCGUCGGGGAGUGUUACGCCGCGCUAGAGCGCAAGGCGCAACUAUACGAGAAACUAGGUAGGCGCUGCGACUGCUGCAGCCGUGCGCCGUGAACAAUGCCACACGGCACCACUGCCAUCCCUACCCCGCCAUUCCACCACGGCCACGUUGCACACCCCUCGCCGUCGAUGUAUGCGGACUCGCACAGGCUGUCCAGCUCGCCAUCUUCCACACGGCUACCAUAUGCCUGUACAAACUCCCUCGACCCUUUGCCAGCCCUAUCUACCCAUUGAUCGCUGUGCUUCUGCUCGACCGCUGUUCCGCUGCUGUUGCUGCUGCUGCUGCUACUGCUGCUGCUGCCGCAGCUCGCGGCGAGUUGGACGACGAGGGCGAGCAGUACGAGGUGGACUUCCUGCGCAAGGGCGGGGCGGCGGAGGAGGAGGCGGGUGGAGGCGAGGGCCGGCGCGGCGGCGACCUGGUGGACACCAUGCUGCAGGCAGUGUCGGGGACAGGUGAGGCGGGGGCGGAUGGGGGCAAGGAGUCCACGGGCCUUGUAGUCGGACUGCCCGAGCCGCCACCCUGACGGAGAGGGUCAACAAGUGUGUGCUGCGGCUGACCUGUCGGCAGAGCGUGUUGCUGCUGUUCGGCGCUCGGCCCGCUGGAUCUCACCACCCUCAGCCCCCGCCGCUGCUCGGCUGCAACCAUUGAGGCAGGACAGCAAGGGUUUAGGCAGGGUAGUAUGGACUGAGGCAGGGUAAUGCGGACUGGGCAAGGCAACCACCCGACACAUAGCGUGUCCCGGUCUAUUGUAUUCUUCUCUUGUGCGGAGACCGCACGUCUGAACCGCUCCUACUCCGCGCUGCACUUGCGCUCCUGACCACCUCCUGGCCACCUGUCGGCAUGCGGCCCCGCACACAGGCGGCAUGAUGACUGCGGACAUGGCGCGGGAACGGGAGCGGCGCGACUGGGAGCGGGACCAGCAGCGCAUCAUGGCGGACGAGGAGGCGGAGGAGCGGAGGCGGAAGCAGAAAGAGGUGCGUCCAACACAAGCGGAGGUCGGGGACCAAUGGCACCAUUGUUGUAUGCUGUUUAACCCGGGUUACCCUAUGCCGGCGAUGCUGCCUGUGAGCAGUUGAUAAGCAGUGCCUAACCUGCGGUGGCACGUCGUCGCAUGCGGUUUGCACAGGCGCUGCUUUGGCUUGUGGGGGCUGUCGGUGGAGGCGCUGCUGCCCGAGGUGACGGUGCCGGUGCCUGAGGUCCUGCGCAGCCGCAGCGAGUGGUGCACCACCUACCUGGAUGAGGACAUGCGGGUGGGGCGCGGCAGCGGCGGCGCGCUGUUCCUGUUCCGGCGCGGCGGCGCGGACGACGUCACCGAGGCGGCGGGCGCCAUGGGCGGCAGCCUGGGUGCGGGCUCCGGCAUGGGCAUGGGCUUGGGCGUGGG
This 5734-nucleotide long non-coding RNA is filed under the name Chlamydomonas reinhardtii. Its description in RNAcentral is "long non-coding RNA (CREI_LNC001010)". Lineage: Eukaryota; Viridiplantae; Chlorophyta; Chlorophyceae; Chlamydomonadales; Chlamydomonadaceae. The record is from RNAcentral.